This 1304-nucleotide long non-coding RNA is filed under the name Ananas comosus (pineapple). RNAcentral's name for it is "long non-coding RNA (ACOM_LNC029278)". Lineage: Eukaryota; Viridiplantae; Streptophyta; Magnoliopsida; Poales; Bromeliaceae. The record is from RNAcentral.
UAUCUCUCUUUAUAUAUAGAGAGAGAGAGUUAAGCUGGAAUACUAUCAAUAGUAAACGGGUUCCGUUGCCACCCAUUUGUUUUCGAUGAUAGAGCCUCCAAAUCGACGAUCAGUACCGUUGAAAAUGAUCUAUACCACUUGAAGUAUCUAGAAAUCAAAUUUCAUACUUUUUCGAUAUUGUUCUCUUGUUCAUCAAGUGGGCGUAAAAAUGAACAGCUGAAAAUAAAUAUUCUCUAAAAAGUGAUGAUAGGAAUUUUGUAAUCAAGAUCGAGAGUAUAGAUCUUGUUCUAAGUAGUUUAAAGAAUUUUCUAACCAAAAUUCAAUUGAUUUGGAUAGCGUUAAAUGAGAAAACGCCUCAUAUCGACCCUUAAAAUUACAAAUUUUGAAACCCUUUGAUCAUUAGGUCAAUGAUGUCGAAAAGAUUUGAAAUUUGAUUUUUAGAUACUUUAAGUGAUAUAGAUCAUGUUCAACGGUGCCGAUCGUCGAUUUGAAGGCUCCAUCAUCGAAAACAAAUAGGUGGCAACGGAGCCCGUUUGCUAUCGAUAGCAUUCCAGCUCAACUAUAUAUAUAUAUAUAUAUAUAUAUAAAAGGUGGAUGGUCAAAUGUCGAGAAUGGAGACUAUAUAUAUUUAGCCUUUAAAUUUUAUCUCAUAUGUAAAAUAUGAUUGUGAUGCCCCACUUUUCGUGGAGUCAUCCAUCCUAGGACUACUAUAGUUCUAACAUACUUAACUCUCUGAACCUCUUGGGUCUAGUUACCACCCAAAAUAUUAUAGUUAUGUUAAAAAUUUUAGUUUUAUUAUAUAUUAUAUAUGAGAUUAUCUGGGGUCUCAUAUUCUUUCUCUUUUUUAAGUUUUGACGUUCUCGUCAGGCUCAAACUUACAAGUAUCAGGCGAUGUGAUACUUGUCUUGCUAGUCUCAACCAAUUCUGUGAGUAGCCGUGCUUUACUCACAAUAGUCAUCAGUAUAAGAGUCUCACUCUUCCCGCCGUAUAAUUUGGCUCAACUGAGACUUAUCUCACACUUCUGGAUGAUACUUGGCUCAUAUACCAAAAAAAAGGGGCAUUUUUUUGUUGAUCUAGUUUUCUUUUUUGAGAGAUAGGUAGCACGUUAUCCGGUUCGUUUAUUUUAUUUAGAAAUAAACUUAGCUAGAAAUGUGAAUCAACUAGGAUUCGAACUUGGGUCUCGGAUACCAACCACCAAGCCCUUUGCCACUUGCUCUAGGGACGAUCGGUGUUGAUCUAGUUUUCAAAAUUGACCUUUUUUCAAAUAGCUUUAUAAAAAAGACUCCGUGGUGUCACAAUAUAUU